UCGUAACAAGGUUUCCGUAGGUGAACCUGCGGAAGGAUCAUUACCGAGUGCGGGUCCUUUGGGCCCAACCUCCCAUCCGUGUCUAUUAUACCCUGUUGCUUCGGCGGGCCCGCCGCUUGUCGGCCGCCGGGGGGGCGCCUUUGCCCCCCGGGCCCGUGCCCGCCGGAGACCCCAACACGAACACUGUCUGAAAGCGUGCAGUCUGAGUUGAUUGAAUGCAAUCAGUUAAAACUUUCAACAAUGGAUCUCUUGGUUCCGGCAUCGAUGAAGAACGCAGCGAAAUGCGAUAACUAAUGUGAAUUGCAGAAUUCAGUGAAUCAUCGAGUCUUUGAACGCACAUUGCGCCCCCUGGUAUUCCGGGGGGCAUGCCUGUCCGAGCGUCAUUGCUGCCCUCAAGCCCGGCUUGUGUGUUGGGUCGCCGUCCCCCUCUCCGGGGGGACGGGCCCGAAAGGCAGCGGCGGCACCGCGUCCGAUCCUCGAGCGUAUGGGGCUUUGUCACAUGCUCUGUAGGAUUGGCCGGCGCCUGCCGACGUUUUCCAACCAUUUUUUCCAGGUUGACCUCGGAUCAGGUAGGGAUACCCGCUGAACUUAAGCAUAUCAAUAA
RNAcentral lists this unclassified non-coding RNA (604 nucleotides) under Aspergillus tubingensis. RNAcentral's name for it is "sequence contains 18S rRNA gene, ITS1, 5.8S rRNA gene, ITS2, 28S rRNA gene". The stretch from base 230 to 383 matches the Rfam family "5.8S ribosomal RNA". The record is from RNAcentral. Lineage: Eukaryota; Fungi; Ascomycota; Eurotiomycetes; Eurotiales; Aspergillaceae.